UGUGAACAUUUCUAUUAACCGCGAGUAAUUGAUAAGUGCCCUUGUAGUCUUCAACUUGUUUCUUCCCUAAUGUUUUAAUCUUUCACUCUCUCAUUUCUCUCAGGCGAUUCUCAUAUAUUUUAAUACUUACUUUGCUAUAUAGGUAUUUCAAGCACAACAAUUUCUCAAGUUUUAUCCGCCAGGUGUGUGUGUAUUCAUCAACCACGGGAGUUGUGAAAGACGUUCCCAAUUUUCGUGAUUGGGUAGAAAAGUUAUUGAUGAAGCUCAUCAAACUCAAAAUUUUCCUUCUCCCGUGGCCGAAGCUUCCGUGAAUGUUGAAGUCGAUACGGGUAUCCCAACUAUUUCAUGCCUAGUCGAGCAUGUUGCUAUAAGUCAAGUUGAGCCCGCAACCGUUGAUACUCCUGCCCAAGUUGAGCUCGUUGCUGGUGAUGCUCCUGCUUCAGUAUCUUCAACUUAUCAGUGACUAGCUUUAGUUGUUUGAAUAUUUUUGUUUUGGUUUUAUUCAGAAAAUUGUGAUCAAACCCUUGGUUUCAUUUGAGGGUUUAUUUUGAAAACGCAAGUCCCCAGACCUUUUCAUGGGGCAAUUUGUAUAAACAAUUCGUAGCUUUACAACUAAGUUCGUACUUAGUCUUAAGUUUUUUUAAAAAAAAUAUUAAUAAGUAUUGUUGUUA
Nicotiana tabacum (common tobacco) is the source of this 671-nucleotide long non-coding RNA. RefSeq lists it as uncharacterized. The record is from RefSeq and is a predicted model, not a curated record. Lineage: Eukaryota; Viridiplantae; Streptophyta; Magnoliopsida; Solanales; Solanaceae.